This 230-nucleotide unclassified non-coding RNA is filed under the name plant metagenome. RNAcentral's name for it is "partial contains small subunit ribosomal RNA, internal transcribed spacer 1, and 5.8S ribosomal RNA". The record is from RNAcentral.
UCUCCGUAGGUGAACCUGCGGAGGGAUCAUUACAGAGUUCAUGCCCUCCGGGUAGCUCUCCCACCCAUUGCUAUAACUACUCUCGUUGCUUUGGCGGGCCGCUGGGCCCUGCCCGGCCGCCGGCCCCGGCUGGCGCGUGCCCGCCAGAGACCUCACAAACUCUGAAUGUUAGUGUCGUCCGAGUAACUAUACAAUCGUUAAAACUUUCAACAACGGAUCUCUUGGUUCUG